UGGUUCAGUGGUCUAGAGGUUAAGUGUUCGCCUGUGACACUGAAGGUGAUGGGUUCGAGUCCCAACGUGGAAU
Molecule: transfer RNA, 73 nt
Filed under: Schistosoma mansoni
Lineage: Eukaryota; Metazoa; Platyhelminthes; Trematoda; Strigeidida; Schistosomatidae
Source: RNAcentral